UGGANACCACGCCGUAAACGAUGGAUACUAGGUGUGGGAGGUAUCAACUCCUUCCGUGCCGCCGCUAACGCAUUAAGUAUCCCGCCUGGGGAGUACGGUCGCAAGAUUAAAACUCAAAGGAAUUGACGGGGGCCCGCACAAGUAGCGGAGCAUGUGGUUUAAUUCGAAGCAACGCGAAGAACCUUACCUAGACUUGACAUCUUCUGCAUUACCCUUAAUCGGGGAAGUUCCUUCGGGAACAGAAUGACAGGUGGUGCAUGGUUGUCGUCAGCUCGUGUCGUGAGAUGUUGGGUUAAGUCCCGCAACGAGCGCAACCCUAUUGUUAGUUGCUACCAUUAAGUUGAGCACUCUAGCGAGACUGCCCGGGUUAACCGGGAGGAAGGUGGGGGAUGACGUCAAAUCAUCAUGCCCCUUAUGUCUAGGGCUACACACGUGCUACAAUGGCAAGUACAGAGAGAUGCAAUACCGUGAGGUGGAGCUAAACUUCAAAAUCUUGUCUCAGUUCGGAUUGUAGGCUGAAACUCGCCUACAUGAAGCUGGAGUUACUAGUAAUCGCGAAUCAGCAUGUCGCGGUGAAUACGUUCCCGGGCCUUGUACACACCGCCCGUCACACCAUGAGAGUUGGCAAUACCCAAAGUUCGUGAGCUAACCGUAAGGAGGCAGCGACCUAAGGUAGGGUCAGCGAUUGGGGUGAAGUCGUAACAAGGUAGCCGUAGGAGAACC
Molecule: ribosomal RNA, 723 nt
Filed under: uncultured bacterium
Lineage: Bacteria
Description: bacterial SSU rRNA
Rfam family: Bacterial small subunit ribosomal RNA
Source: RNAcentral